GUAAGGAAUAUUGCUCAAUGGGAGAAAUCCUGAAGCAGCAACGCCGCGUGGAGGAUGAAAUACUUUUGUAUGUAAACUCCUGUAAGAGGGGAAAAAUAUACAGUUUUGCUGUAUUGAUUGUACCCUCAGAGUAAGCACCGGCUAACUACGUGCCAGCAGCCGCGGUAAUACGUAGGGUGCUAGAGUUGUCCGGAUUUACUGGGUGUAAAGGGUGCUCAGGUGGGUUUGUAAGUCAGAGGUGAAAUCCCAAAGCUUAACUUUGGAGCUGCCUUUGAUACUGCAAGUCUUGAGUUUGAGAGAGGGCAAUGGAAUAUCUGGUGUAGCAGUGAAAUGCGUAGAUAUCAGAUAGAACACCAAUGGCGAAGGCAGUUGCCUGGCUCAAAACUGACGCUAAAGCACGAAAGUGUGGGGAGCAAACAGGAUUAGAUACCCGAGUAGUCC
RNAcentral lists this ribosomal RNA (441 nucleotides) under uncultured bacterium. RNAcentral describes it as "bacterial SSU rRNA". It matches the Rfam family "Bacterial small subunit ribosomal RNA", at positions 354 to 796 of the family's 1533-position model. The record is from RNAcentral.